AUAGCGUAUAUUAAAGUUGUUGCAGUUAAAAAGCUCGUAGUCGAACUUCGGGUCUGGCCGGGCGGUCCGCCCUUUCGGGCGCGCACUGCUCACGGGCCGGUCCUUCCCUUCUGGGGAACCACGGCGACUCCUUCACGGGGGCCGUCGUCGGGGAGCCAGGACGUUUACCUUGAAAAAAUUAGAGUGUUCAAAGCAAGCGCACGCUUGAAUAGAUUAGCAUGGAAUAAUGGAAUAGGACCUUGGUCUUAUUUUGUUGGUUUUCGAAGGCCACGGUAAUGAUUAAUAGGGAUAGUUGGGGGCAUUGCUAUUGCGGAGUCAGAGGUGAAAUUCUUGGAUUUCCGCAAGAGCAACAAUUG
RNAcentral lists this ribosomal RNA (356 nucleotides) under uncultured eukaryote. RNAcentral's name for it is "bacterial SSU rRNA". It matches the Rfam family "Eukaryotic small subunit ribosomal RNA", at positions 594 to 945 of the family's 1831-position model. The record is from RNAcentral.